Molecule: long non-coding RNA, 2724 nt
Filed under: Homo sapiens (human)
Lineage: Eukaryota; Metazoa; Chordata; Mammalia; Primates; Hominidae
Description: non-protein coding LINC01197:24
Source: RNAcentral
CUUUUGUGCAGGCAUCUCGCUGUCUGCGCUGGGCACGGAGCGGCGCGCGCGCGCCCGUCUUUCCCUCGGCGGCCCCCGCGGCUCGGACCCGGGCCGGCAGACAGGCCAUCCAUCAUCCGCCCUCCUCCCGCGGAGCGCCGCAGCCGCCGCGGCCAAUCCGGCGGCAGGUGGGGCCGCACCUGCGCGACAGCCCGCCGCUUCCCUCCGCUCCCUUCGCCGCGCCUCGCGUGCUAGCGGUGCCCUUGUGAGCCACUGCGUUCUCCAAGGCCAGAACGGGACAGAUGGAGAAAUUGAGAUGAGAGCUCAUCCACAAGAUUACCCAUCAAUGAGCACCAAUAGCAACCAAAUCCACUAGAAGACUGGGAGCUUUUAAGUCAAGAAACUUACAUCAGUAUCAUCAUUCCAAGAAGCGGUAUCCAAGCUGUUUUAUCGAAAGUGCGCAUGGGAGGCAGAUUUUGACUCCAAAAGUCCAGGAUGGGGCCUGAGGUUCUGCAUGUCUAACAAUUUCCCAGCUGAUGCCAAAGCUGCUGAUCAGAGUCUACACCUUAAGAAAUAAGACUCUGAGAAUUUAUAGAAACAAACAUUAGAAGGCAGGAAUGUGGAGAGAAGAAAGCUACCUGACAAGGGAAUCUCAGGAUACAAGGAAAACACCAAGAAGUCCCCAUGAGUCCCUACAGCCACAAUAAAUUGAAUUCUGCCAAAAAUCUUAAUAAGCUUGGAAGAAGACCUUCAGCUCCUGAUGAGAACCCAGCCAGAAACAAGAUGAGAACCCAGAAACAAGAUUUUCAUCUUAUUUCAACCUGAGCAGAGAACCCAGAGGAGCCCUGGCCAGAUUUUUGGUCUACAGGAUUGAGAAGACACCUGCCUGAGGGUCUUAUAGCUAAUGGACUGCAGAAGACUUGAGUCAUCAUUCAAAUUCAGUAGCCAUCCUCUGAUGUCCAGUUGAAGAUUGGUGAUUCCAGAAUAGCUCGCAUUGCCCCAGUUGACUUGCCACACAGCUUCUUUCAGGACUUGAAAAUGUCCUAGCCACCCCCAUCUUACCUCCUACUUCCAAUGCCUUUUAAGAUAGAAAACAAAAAACAAAACAACAAAAAAACACCAGCCACCCUUGUGGGUUAGAUAAUCCUACAUCAAGGUGAAUUCUUGAUAACCAGUUCUGUUCUUCCUUAUGUCUUGUAAACAUGCUAAUUAGAAGGAGCUUGUGUUUGAAGAUCAAGGGAGGAAGAAUUCUGAAGCCAGGGCUAGCCUUAGGGGACAUAACUCCUUCCAGUCACUUCCUGAAUUUUUUGGUACCUGGCUUUUGAGAGUCCUCCAAAGUGAGAAUUUCAUGACAUGUAACCUCUCAACACCUGCAUUUUAAAAAAUUGUCCAAAAUACCGCAGAUACCACAGAAAAGUCCAAAACUUAAGUUUUUCCCUCCACUCAGAGCAUCUUAGCAACAUACUAACCAUAAGACUCUAAGCGCUCUUACCCUCAAUGCAAUUCUCACUGAAUAUCCUGUCAGGAGAACUCUACCUCUCUUCCAUGUUAUUAAGGUUAUUGUUCUUUGCAAGGUGUACACAACACAAAUAUAUUUCUUGGUGAAUGAACUCACUCUCAAAGACUGCUGUCCUUGGGGAUAUAGCCAACAUGCCAUAUCCACAACAUAGGUCUUCUUUACAGUCCUGUUGAAACAUGUAAGAUCAGCUACUAAGUCCCUGCAUCUCAGACAGGAACUUAAUAGAGUACAUUUAAAAAAAAAAUUCAGAAGUAAUUAAAACAAAUUGCAUACAAGCCACCUGUUUAGAAAGUUCAUAAAUUUUAUGCAAUUAUUUAUCUCUUUAUUUUUUCUGAAAUCAAGAGCAGAAUGUAUCCAAGUGAAACUAAAAGAGCGAGGUCAAGGGGAAACAACACAGGGCUUGUGGAGUCAUAAAUAUGUAUUAAAGCAGCAGAGUUAAUUUUGUCCCAAGUUCCAUAUUGGCCAGGAAAAAAGAAACAAGAUCAGCAGAGUUAACAGCUCUCAACCUGAAUAUGCCUCAGAAUUUCUAGGAGGACUUAAGUAAUGAGAUUCCUGGGUUUCUACAUGGACCAACUCAAUCAAACUCUUCAGGAGACAGCUGCUGUUGUUAGACUGUGUCUCCCAAAAUUCUUGUGUUGGAAACUUAGUUCCCAAUGUAAUGAUACUGGCAGGUGUGGCCUAGUGGGGGGUGUUUAGAUCAUGAGGGCUUCAGCCUCAUGAAUGGAUUAAUGUUGAUAUCUCAGGAGUGAGUUUCCUCUUGCUCUCUGUAGCCCUCUCUCUUGCCACAUGAUGACUUCCACCAGGUUAUGACUCAACAGGAAGGCCCUCACAAGAUGUGGAACCUCAAUCUUAGACUUCUCAGCCUCCAGAAGUGAGCCAAAUAAAUUUCUGUUCAUUAUACAUUACUUAGUCUGGAUUAUUCUGUUAUAAGGGCACAAAACAGACUAGUACACAAUAUGUGUGUGCUUUUUACAUCAGAUGAAUCUCAUGGUCAGUUAAGUCUGGAAAUCACUUGUCUAAAUGAGUUGCGUUUGGUUUUUCCUAAGAAAUAUGCUGUCAGUUCCUCAAGAGAAGCAAAAUAUACCAGCCCUUAUAUUUCCUUUAAGAAGACUCACCUAAUUUAGGUCAUAUAUCUCAAAGUGUUAUGGGGCAAGAUAUAUUCAACACUGUAUUCAGUAUGGUAAGCUUCAUUGAAUAAAUUUUCAGAUGCUUUGAAUGAAGUUGCG